Molecule: ribosomal RNA, 440 nt
Filed under: uncultured bacterium
Lineage: Bacteria
Description: partial 16S ribosomal RNA
Rfam family: Bacterial small subunit ribosomal RNA
Source: RNAcentral
CCUACGGGGUGCAGCAGUGGGGAAUAUUGCACAAUGGGGGAAACCCUGAUGCAGCGACGCCGCGUGAGUGAAGAAGUAAUUCGUUACGUAAAGCUCUAUCAGCAGGGAAGAAAAUGACGGUACCUGAGUAAGAAGCCCCGGCUAACUACGUGCCAGCAGCCGCGGUAAUACGUAGGGGGCAAGCGUUAUCCGGAUUUACUGGGUGUAAAGGGAGCGUAGACAGUGCGCCAAGUCUGGAGUGAAAUGCCGCAGCUUAACUGCGGAACUGCUUUGGAAACUGGCGAACUAGAGUGCGGGAGGGGUAAGUGGAAUUCCUAGUGUAGCGGUGGAAUGCGUAGAUAUUAGGAGGAACAUCAGGGGCGAAGGCGACUUACUGGACUGUAACUGACACUGAGGCACGAAAGCGUGGGGAGCAAACAGGAUUAGAUACCCUGGUAGUC